Hordeum vulgare subsp. vulgare (domesticated barley) is the source of this 125-nucleotide non-coding RNA. Lineage: Eukaryota; Viridiplantae; Streptophyta; Magnoliopsida; Poales; Poaceae. The record is from Rfam.
UACGUACUUCCUCCGUCCGAAAAUACUUGUCGAAGAGAUGAAUGUAUCUAGAUGUAUUUUAGUUCUGGAUACAUUCAUUUUUAUUUAUUUCUGCGGCAAGUAAUUCCGGACUGAGGGCGUACUUG